This 164-nucleotide ribosomal RNA is filed under the name uncultured bacterium. RNAcentral's name for it is "partial 16S rRNA". It matches the Rfam family "Bacterial small subunit ribosomal RNA", at positions 355 to 511 of the family's 1533-position model. The record is from RNAcentral.
UAGGGAAUCUUCCACAAUGGACGCAAGUCUGAUGGAGCAACACCGCGUGAGUGAAGAAGGUCUUCGGAUCGUAAAACUCUGUUGUUAGAGAAGAACACGAGUGAGAGUAACUGUUCAUUCGAUGACGGUAUCUAACCAGCAAGUCACGGCUAACUACGUGCCAG